This 301-nucleotide ribosomal RNA is filed under the name uncultured bacterium. RNAcentral's name for it is "partial 16S ribosomal RNA". It matches the Rfam family "Bacterial small subunit ribosomal RNA", at positions 509 to 807 of the family's 1533-position model. The record is from RNAcentral.
CAGCAGCCGCGGUAAUACGAAGGGGGCUAGCGUUGUUCGGAUUUACUGGGCGUAAAGGGCGCGUAGGCGGGCGAAUAAGUCAGGGGUGAAAUCCCAAGGCUCAACCUUGGAACUGCCUUUGAUACUGUUUGUCUUGAGUUCGAGAGAGGUAAGUGGAACUGCGAGUGUAGAGGUGAAAUUCGUAGAUAUUCGCAAGAACACCAGUGGCGAAGGCGGCUUACUGGCUCGAAACUGACGCUGAGGCGCGAAAGCGUGGGGAGCAAACAGGAUUAGAUACCCCGGUAGUCCCUGUCUCUUAUAC